Hydra vulgaris (swiftwater hydra) is the source of this 961-nucleotide long non-coding RNA. RefSeq lists it as uncharacterized. The record is from RefSeq and is a predicted model, not a curated record. NCBI's taxonomy places the organism in Eukaryota, Metazoa, Cnidaria, Hydrozoa, Anthoathecata, Hydridae.
GAGGUGGACCGCCAUAACCAAAUUUUCCGGGUUGUUUUUUCAAGCCAGUCCGACCCUGUCCUCAGUAGUAGGAGAAUGUUUUAAUACCUUAUUUUCCAAAUAAUCAAAACUGUUUCUUUCAAAUAAAAAUUUACUUAUAUGUUACACUUAUUUAGGUUGGGGAGGGGGGCCCUCUCUAAUGACCAUAGAUGCACCACUAAUGUAUCUUUUAAUUUAGUAAAUUAUGUUAUACUUCUUUGUUUUUGUACUUUAAGUAACUAAUUAGAUAUUUCAAGAUUGAGACUUUCUUUGAUAUUGUAGUGUUAAAACAUUAACAACACAUCUACUAUGAGUUUUACAUUUAUCUCCCAUAUUUGGAUCUACCAAAUAUGGUAGAUCCAAAUAUGGGAUUUGUAUGGUUCUUGUAUGAUUUUAUUUUUUUUAAUUUUAUAAAUUUUUUUCAAUUUAUUAUUUAAAUUUCGACUUAGUGCAAAUUAAAUUUCACUAAACGCUACAAAAACUAAAAUAGUUGUCUUUAAAACCAAAAAAACUAAAAUAAAAAAACAAGGAACAAUGCACUUUCAGCAUUGAUGGAAAAAUAUUAACUUCGUCAAAAACUGUGAAGUACCUUGGAUUUUGGCUGAAUGAGAGUCUUUCUUACUUUCUAUCAUCAAACUUACUUACAGACUAAGCUAAUUCGAUCAGUUGGAAUGUUAACCAAGAUCAGACAUUUGAUACAGUUAGCCGAUGUUCUAAAAUAAAAAGACACAAUGCACAAAGAUAUAUUUUAGACUGUUUGAAGUUUGCAUCAUAUUGAUUGGAUCGAGGAAAACGUGCAUUAAAUCAAAAUGAGUCUGAUGACAGAAGACGACGGAUGAGUUUGAUACUGAUGAUGAAGAUAACGAUAUCAUAAUUUUAUCAAGAUUGUUUUAAAAAUAAUUUUAACUUUGAAUAUGCUUUUGUUCUAAAAAUUUAUAAAUUA